RNAcentral lists this unclassified non-coding RNA (228 nucleotides) under Hevea brasiliensis (rubber tree). The record is from RNAcentral. Lineage: Eukaryota; Viridiplantae; Streptophyta; Magnoliopsida; Malpighiales; Euphorbiaceae.
UUUUUUUUUAAUGUCUUCUUCUUUCUCUUUUUUCUCUUAUGUUUUAAAAAUUGACUAGUGAAUAUACCUAUUUGACCGUUGGUGAAACUGUAAUAUCUGUGGCAUACUUAGUGUGUUUUCAUAUGUUGAUUGAGACUCUAUGACCAGUACUUUACUAUAACUGUUUCUCUAAAUAUCUUUAACCCAAGUACACAAGAUUCAUAAAAGAAAGACCACCUUGGGAGGGAA